GCGAGAUUCAUCUUAAGGGGGGUAGGUUUGUAACAUCCCAAUUUUCCUAAAUUAGGAUGUUAUUAGAUCAUACAUAUGCAUAUCAUAUUUUCCAUGCAUUAUUUGCUCUUCUGCAAUAUUCUUUUCAUUAUGCAACUAAAGGCAAUUUAUUGGAGUGGAGAUAAAAUGACUUCUCCCCUGUUUAAAAAUGUUCAUAAUGUCAAUAAUAUUAUUUCCAGUUCAUAUGUUACGUUCUGGUAUUUUUUAUUAGUCUCCAUAGUAUUUUAUUUGAGUGUUUUGUUGCUGUUUGUGUGGCCUAUUGCAUAAAAAUGAUUUUUCCGAAAUUGCAUUAGGUGAGGAACUAGUGUUCCUGUAGUUUAUAUUAGUAGUAAAUAUUUUACUGUGUGUAUAUGUAUUUUUGUUUAGUUUUUAUUAUGUUGUUUUUAUUUUUAGUUUAACCGCUGUAGCAGUUUUGUGUUCUUAAAAAAAACAGGGCCAGCCAGCCGGCCAGCCAACCGGCCCAUCACCGUGGCCCAGCCAGCCAGCCAGCGCAGCAGCAGCACACAGCCGCACCACACCGCUGCGGCCCAUCUUCCUCGCGAAGCGGUACGCACAGCCAUACCCGACCCGCACCUGCAGCCCGCACCCAUCUUCCACCCUGAGCCGGACGUAGCCGCACGCACGCCGAGGCCGAGCCGGAUCGCCCAGCACCCCUGGUACACCUCGAGCGCGCCAGACCUGCCGUACGCGAAGCAAAACCCCUAGGGGAGACCCCGCAGCUCCUGUCCUGAUCCUCUUCGUUGCCGCACGCGCUGUUGGGCGAAAACGGAUCUCGCUGUCGUGCUCCGAGGCCGCCGUCGUUCACCGUCCGUAUCCGCCACCGUAAGGACGCCCCUGCCGCUCCACUUCUCACCCUUGAACCCCCACUCGACGCCGCCCUAUCCUGACACGCCCUUGUGGCUGAAAUCGCAGCGGAGAGAGAGGAACGAGCCCACCCGCCGUCGCCGAGCACGCCGGAGUUAACAUCUUCGCUGUCGCCUACAGAGGUCGCCCCGUCACCGUUUGACAUCACCGACGUCUCUGCCGCUCGACAGCGCACCCGCCCGUCACUUCACCUUCGUCGGAGACCCACCGGAGGAGCGCCGCCGCCAACGCCCGAGAUCGCCGCCGCCGUUUUCCUCUGCUUCUGGUGAGCACGCACGCGCACAGGAGCCUUUGGCCAAUCACGAGCUGCCACGUGGGCACCAGCUACAGCACACGCAGUAACAGUGCAGGAGUUUUCUGUUUUCUUUUUCAGAUUUCAGCUAAAACUUCAACUAGCUAUAUCUUUUAUUCUAUAAGUCCAAAUUAGGUAAUUCUUUUUCCAAUGAUCUCAAAAAAAUCAGCACAUUAUCACAGUACCAACUUUGCACAUGUUUGCACUAUUCAAAUUUGAAUUAGUUCGAAUUUGAAAUAAACCUUCGGGAGGCCGUAACUCUCAAACCGUUUAUCGGAUUCGAGUGAUUCUUUUUGCAUUGUGACCGUAGUGCAAUUUAGGUGCUGUUAAGCUUCUGUUGUUGUGUUUUUGAAAUGAUUUUCUUGCUGUUGGUUUUAUUUUGGUUCGAUUCGUGUUCCGAUGAUUGAUUUGUUGUAUUGUGUGAAACGUGUAGAUUGUCCGGAGUGCGACGCAAACUAUUGUCAGGAGUGUGACUUUCUGAACCAGAACCAAGGCAAGUUAAAUGUUGAUCAUCCUUUAUCUAUUGUUUUCUAUGCAUGUAGUUAUAUCACACUAUGAAUAUAUGCAUGUAUAGGAUUACUAUAUUAUUUUGCUAUAUGCUGUUGAGCUAUCUUCCCGUCUUUUGCAAAUCGUGGUAGUUGUAGUUUGCUAUGCUUUGUAGACGGGGGUGGUUCGUGUAUACAUUGAGUUUAUGUGAGGAUUACAUAUAUAUAACAAUUGAGUAGUAACUCAGGAUUUAACUCACCUCUAGGCGGAAGUGGUAUUGCUUGGUGUUGAGGGAAGGCAUCAUGGGGUCUUGCACCUUUUCUAAGGCCAUGCGCUCAUGAGAGUGCACCCUAAGUGGAAUGCCGCCCAGGUUCAAAAAGAUCAGACAGACUUAGUGACUAGUAGCUUCCAUGUGCGGCCACUGGCUAUAUGGGCUCUAGCUUAGUUGAUCAGUUGUUGGAACCCUUGCCCAGACAAUGUCGACAGAUGUAGCAUAUGUAGGUGGGAUGUGGCCGUCAGGUGGUUAAGGGAACCUCUUCUGAAAGACUUUGUCUCAAUCUUCGGAUUGGGUCUAGUGGGUAAAGCGUACAAAACUCUGCAGAGUAUUAAAACUAAUCAUGAUUAGCCGUGCCCCCGGUUAUGGGUAAAUUUCAGCCACUAUGCCGUUACAAUUGUUGGAUGAUCUUGACACAUGUGACACUUAAUAAUAUUUGUGGGCAACUUAAUAAAGGGUAGGUUGGAGUUGAUUUUGCCAACUCAACCUUGUGUAUUUAAUUGUAGUAAUAAAAGAACUAAAUAAAAAUUUGACUAUUAGGUAGUUAUUAGGAUAAAAUCAGCUUUAUGCAAAAAUAAACCCUCAAGCCUUCCUUUGUUGUACUAUGCAUAUACAUGUAGGUCUGCUAUAUUAUUACUCCUGUGUAACUUGCCAACACAUUCAAAGUAUUGACCUAUAUGGCUGCAACGUCUCAUGUUGCAGGAUAUUCAGACGACGAGUAAGGUACCGUUAGGGUCGCGAGUCUGCACUCAGCAUCGCCAGUGGGCUAUGAUGGGACUCAUCGUUAUUUUCUGCUACUUUCCGCUGUUUGAUUGAAUAAAGCUAGCCAAGUGCGAUGCAGAUUGUUUUAUUUUAUACAUUCUGGAUCAUACGAUGUAAU
Molecule: long non-coding RNA, 2835 nt
Filed under: Triticum aestivum (bread wheat)
Lineage: Eukaryota; Viridiplantae; Streptophyta; Magnoliopsida; Poales; Poaceae
Description: long non-coding RNA (TAES_LNC027003)
Source: RNAcentral